AAUAAUGAACCAUUAAUCCAAAUUUCAAAUCCUUUAAGUUCCAAAAUAAUAUAUACUUGAACAACUAAGAUUAAAAAAAACAAAGAAACCUUCCACGAUUUUCAUGGGUCAAAGCAAGAUAAAUACAAAUAAAAGAAAAGUCAGAUGCCGUCAGUACCCAAACAAGGGUAGAGCUCAUGAAAAAUAAACAAAAAAGAAAAAGAAAAAUAAUUUAUCAGAUUCAGAGAUGUUGACAAAGCCACCAUCCAAUUUGUCGCCAUAUUUGAUUCUUCAUUGUACUCGUGGAGGAAAGGACUGGAGAGGAGAAAAUUUGUGAUAAGACAGUGAUGAGGGAGGAAAGGUCAUGGUGGUGCCAAGAUUUUUUGCUGGUGCGGGAGAGAACUGAUGUAGUGGUUGUUGGUGUCGAUGUGGGAAGACAAAUGUAAAGUCGUGAUGGGUAGUGAAUGUGGGAAGAUUUUGAUGUGGGAGAUUGACAAAGAUAAAGGGAAGGUUGUUGAGGAAGUCUUAUGGUGGAGAAGAGUUGAAAUGAGAACAUCUCCAAUAGAGGAUCUUGGAAAGGGAUCUUAAGCACAAGAUCUAAUUACUAGAGGCACCCUCAAAAUUUCCAUGUUGGAGGUUGGGUUCCUGUGGAAGAACCCUGAAGAUCUGUUAGUUUUUUUUAUUUUAAAUAAAUCAUUUUGUAUUGCCUCUCUCCCUAACUAAUUCAUGCGAAAACCAACAAAUUCAGAAGAGGAAGAAUAGGUCAAUG
This 748-nucleotide long non-coding RNA is filed under the name Glycine max (soybean). RNAcentral describes it as "long non-coding RNA (GMAX_LNC001464)". Lineage: Eukaryota; Viridiplantae; Streptophyta; Magnoliopsida; Fabales; Fabaceae. The record is from RNAcentral.